CUCCCUCACCUAUACUCACAGCCAAUUGGCCAGGAUUAGUCGCAGGAACUUGCCUAACCGCCAGGGGCCCGGCAAGGGCAGUGCUCUUGGGGGCCUCGGAAGGAAAGGCAAGGCACAGGUGGUGGGGCACUAGAAGUCUCUACCACAGCAGCCGGACAAACGAAAGAGCAGUCCAGGAGGCAGCAGCAGCACAAAGAUACACAAGAGCGACUUCGGUGUGUGGGAGGCCCAGGAAGACAGCUCGCGUGGCCGAGGCAGAGGGCAAGGGGGUCAGUGGCAAGAAAUGGGACCAGAAAAGAAGGCAGGGACGGGAGGAUGCGGUUAUGACCCACGAAGGAACUUGGAGCCGCGUCUGGCACAGAGCAAGCGCCCGAGAAAUGGGAACAACAGGCUCUUCACUUCCCCUCUCCAAGUCUCCAGUCCCCUGUCCACAAAAUGAGGAUGUGCACGAGAACUCACCUGUGCAGUGAGCCUUCUAGAACACCUCACCUGGUAUACAGUAGGUCCCCGAUAAGCAAGAGUUUUGAUACUGUCACAACUCAGCUCUGCACAGAUACUAAGCUUUCACUGCAAGAUGCAGGACAGGCUUUCUACUGACUCUACUGACUCCGAACAAAAUUGACGAUCAAAGAAUUCUGAUGAUGUAUCUUUUUCAAGAGAGACCCACACUGAGAUCUUUUUAACUCUGAGGCCAGGGAAGGAGCGCAGAGAGAGUGCCCCAUACACUUUAAACUUUGUUGGAUUUUGUGUGCGUGUGUCUUUCCAUGAUCGGCAGUCAUGUUUUCAAAUAUGCUAGUCUCCAAGAAGGUGCCUCAAUAUCUUCAAGGCCUGGCUAUACCCGACAGUCAACAUUUACCCAAGGUGUGUUUAACAAUUUCAUUCAGGAUGUAGGCUUGGUGAUUGAAUGAAUGGAUGGAUGGAUGAGUGGAUGGGCUAUCCGUCCCAUUCAUUUCAUUUAUUUUUUUUUCAAAAAAAAAUUUUUAAUGUUUAUUUUUGAGGGAGAGAGACAGAGAGACAGAACAUGAGCGGAGGAGGGGCAGAGAGAAGGAGACACAGCAUCUGAAGUAGGAUUCAGGCUCUGAGCUCUCAGCACAGAGCCCAAUUCAGGCUUCAAACUCACAGACCUUGAGAUCAUGACCUGAGCCGAAGUCAGAUACUUAACCGACUAAGCCACCCAGGCGCCCUUAUUUUUAAUUUUUUUUAAUGUUUAUUUAUUUAUUUUGAGAGAGAGAGAGAGAGCACAAGUUGGGGAGGGGCAGAGAGAGAGAGAGACAGAAAAUUCCAAGCAGGCUCCAUUCUGUCGGCGAAGAGCCCAAUGCGGGGCUCGAUCCCACAACCUGUGAGAUCAUGACCUGAGCUGAAAUCAAUAAUCUGAGGCUUAACCCCCUGAGCCACCCAGGCGCCCCCUAAGGAGUGGUUUAAAGGGAAAAUAGUUGGUGAGAGAUGGCCUGCCUUCCCCUAGCCAGGCCCUUCCCACCCCCAGUCCCCUCCAUCUCUAACCCCUCCCCCUCUUGCCCCCACCCCAGUCAUUUCCUGAAGUUUCUUGAACAUUCCCACGCACCCUUCCCAGGUUUAUUCCCCCACCUCCAGUCACCCUCCAGGACACGACACACACACACACACACACACACACGCACGCACACACAACCCAGGGUGGAACUUGAGGCUCUCCUUCUACACCCACAUCAACCAGCCUGGGGAAUGCUGGGAAGGCUGAGGAAUAAAGCCUCCCUUUCUCCCGAGAAAGAGCUGGAGCUCUGAGACAGAUAAAGGACCUGGCUGAGAACAGAAGAGGUCCUCGUGGGGAAGGCAGUUAGAUCUCUGGCCUGCAGACAUUCCGAAUGGAUGGACAUCCUGUCUCUCCUUGGCCUCUCCUUCAGUUUGCUCUGGGGCGUGGGCAAGAUGGCCACCGGCCAGGCCCAGCUUCACAGGCCUGUGACCAGUGUGGUCACACAGGGCCUCACGUUCAAAGGACCCCAUGCUUGGGGUUUAACGCUCUGCAGCUGCUGUCUUGAAAUCCAUAACCAUUUGUCUUUGAAUCUGUGUUUUGUAAGUGACAUCUGAUGGGACAAUGGAGCACGCGCCAAGAACUUGGAGCUUCAAGCCAUGUGCUGUCCUGCCUCCUGCCACCUCCCUGCCUCCCCGGGACAGGUUCUCAGCUCCCCCUUACCCCCUGGCACCGUGGCCCCGCCUGGCCUCCCCCUCCACUGACGCCCUCCACCCUGGGUACAGGCACAGGGAGGGUGGGGGUCAGGUAUCGGGGGUGUGCCAGCGGCCAUCACUGCCCAGGACUGGCAGCAUGCACUUGGGCACCCAUGGCAGGGGUGGCAGGGUGCCUGGGAGGGUCUGCAGUAUCCCCAAGCCCAAUAGCACUCCCUGAAGCAGCUUUGUGUGGUCAAGGAUCUUCUUCCUCCUCCUGUAGCCCUCCCGGGACUGCCUUGUGUUUGUCUUCUCUGACCAGCUCAACGCACCCUCGGGGACAAGCCACGAAAUAAAAAAUUGUAUACUUUUGGCGAUUCUGCACAGGAACGAAACGCUCUGGUUUUGCAUUUAAAACCGCUAUUGCACAAUAUGGAGAUGAAUGGUAAAAUUCAUGCUAGUCAUUUAAAUUUUUUAUUUUUCUUUACUUAGAAUGACAUUAAGCAGCAAACAGAAGACACCGUGACAAGUUGGGAGAGAGCCUGGACAAGUAAAAGCGUUCUAUGUACUUUCAAUGGCACUUUUUCCCGCUUUUCCGGCAAAGGGCCCCGCAUGUGGCUGGGCCCCACAAGGACACAGCUGGCCCUGCCACUAGCGUCCCCAGGACAACACCGUCCCAGAAGCCCAGCACAAGGGGCAUCCACCCAAUAGCUCCAACAGGAAGUACCACGGAUCGCACUCACCUGCACAGCCUGGGUCACAUGCUCAUUUCUGAACCAAUCACAGCAGAUGAGGAGGCAGGAGCCCUCUGAUUGGUCAGGUCUGGGCAUGUGUCCAUCCCUAAGACUCGGGGAUUGGUCAGCCCACCUCAGUGCCUCCCCAAGGGGUGCUCCAUGGGGAAGAGGGAUUCCAUUCCCAGAGGAAUGGGGCGGGUUGUCUAGCCACCAACCCCUCCUCCCCUCAACGCUGUCCUCCCCCUACACACUCCUUAUGCUCAGUUUAAAAGAGAGAACAGGAGCAGCUGGCUGGCUCAGUGGGCAGAGUGUGUGACUCGAUCUCGGGACUGUGAGUUCGAACCCCACUUUGGGUGGAGAGAUUACUUAAAAAACGGAAUUUUGACGGUGCCUGGGUGGCUCAGUCGGUUGAGCGUCCGACUUCGGCUCAGGUCACAAUCUCAGGGUUUGUGAGUUCAAGCCCCGCAUCAGGCUCUGUGCUGACAGCUCAGAGCCUGGAGCCUGCUUCAGAUUCUGUCUCCCUCUCUCUCUCUGCUCAUCCCCUGCUUGCACUGUGUCUCUCUCUCUCUCUC
Long non-coding RNA from Panthera uncia (snow leopard), 3445 nucleotides. RefSeq lists it as uncharacterized. The transcript is spliced from 2 exons. Lineage: Eukaryota; Metazoa; Chordata; Mammalia; Carnivora; Felidae. The record is from RefSeq and is a predicted model, not a curated record.